This 638-nucleotide ribosomal RNA is filed under the name Derispia sp. COL981. RNAcentral describes it as "eukaryotic LSU rRNA". It matches the Rfam family "Eukaryotic large subunit ribosomal RNA", at positions 670 to 1262 of the family's 3401-position model. Lineage: Eukaryota; Metazoa; Arthropoda; Insecta; Coleoptera; Tenebrionidae. The record is from RNAcentral.
GGAGUCUAGCAUGUGCGCAAGUCAUUGGGACAUUACUAAACCUAAAGGCGCAAUGAAAGUGAAUGUUUGCCUUGCGCAAACUUAGGGAAGAUAGAUGACCGUUAAAAGACAGUUGUCUCGCACUCCCGGGGCGUCUCAUUCUCAUUGCGAGAAGAGGCGCACCAAGAGCGUACACGCUGGGACCCGAAAGAUGGUGAACUAUGCCUGGUCAGGACGAAGUCAGGGGAAACCCUGAUGGAGGUCCGUAGCGAUUCUGACGUGCAAAUCGAUCGUCGGAACUGGGUAUAGGGGCGAAAGACUAAUCGAACCAUCUAGUAGCUGGUUCCCUCCGAAGUUUCCCUCAGGAUAGCUGGCGCUCAUUGCGCACGAGUUUCAUCCGGUAAAGCGAAUGAUUAGAGGCAUUGGGGUCGAAACGGCCUCAACCUAUUCUCAAACUUUAAAUGGGUGAGAUCUUCGGCUUGCUCGAACUAUUGAAGCCGCAAGACUCGAAUCAGAGUGCCAAGUGGGCCAUUUUUGGUAAGCAGAACUGGCGCUGUGGGAUGAACCAAACGCCGAGUUAAAGCGCCUAAAUCGACGCUUAUGGGAUACCAUGAAAGGCGUUGGUAACUUAAGACAUCAGGACGGUGGCCAUGGAAGUC